CGGGAUUUGGGGAUUGAUCCUUACGGGAUCCGGGAAUAUAUUUUUUGAUUUCAGGAUUUGAAUUUCUUUAAAUUCUGCAUCUCGGGAUUUCAUGGUUUUAAGCCCGGGAUUUCGGGAUCAGGACCCCUCCGAUCGGGAUUUGGGGAUUGAUCCUUGAUCCUUACGGGAUCCGGGAAUAUAUUUUUCGAUUUCGGGAUAUGAAUUUCUUUAAAUUCUGCAUCUCGGGAUUUCAUGGUUUUAAGCCCGGGAUUUCGGGAUCAGGACCCCUCCGAUAGACAACCCCU
Molecule: long non-coding RNA, 284 nt
Filed under: Mytilus galloprovincialis (Mediterranean mussel)
Lineage: Eukaryota; Metazoa; Mollusca; Bivalvia; Mytilida; Mytilidae
Source: RNAcentral